GCGUAUCGGUGCAAAGGCCGAGCUGCUCUGAAAACACUGACUUCACUGACUUUGCUCUUAGUGAGGAGCCUGUGGUCCUCAGCUUGGAUGAUAGGCUGGAGUCUCCUGAUUUGAAGAGGUAGUGAAGCAAAUGAGAAAUGGUCAUGAGCCUAUAUUUAAAUGUACCCAUUCACGUAACUCGAAAGUGCUCCGGAAAUAUCUACAGAAGGUCUGGAGAAUGAAAAAUCCGAGCAAAUGGGAGCUGACGGCAAGAGGCCUGAGUUCUAGGACUGAUUCUGAUGGAAAAUGGUACUUAGAAGCCAAGAUCUGGGCCCUUGGUGCUAUUUGUUAUGGGGACAUCAUAGACACCCUCAGAGGACAGAGCUGGACACUCAGUGAAACUCAGCCCACAGAGGUACGCGUUUCCCAGGGCUGCUGUAACAAAGUAUCACACUGAGGGUUUGAACAGCAGAAAUGCAUGGUCUCCCAGCCUUUGAGAAGAGGGCUGUUGGCAGGGUCAGGCUCCACUUGAAGU
Molecule: long non-coding RNA, 514 nt
Organism: Molossus molossus (Pallas's mastiff bat)
Lineage: Eukaryota; Metazoa; Chordata; Mammalia; Chiroptera; Molossidae
Exons: 3
Source: RefSeq, a predicted model, not a curated record